Molecule: ribosomal RNA, 989 nt
Filed under: uncultured bacterium
Lineage: Bacteria
Description: bacterial SSU rRNA
Rfam family: Bacterial small subunit ribosomal RNA
Source: RNAcentral
CAGCAGCCGCGGUAAUACGGAGGAUGCGAGCGUUAUCCGGAUUUAUUGGGUUUAAAGGGUGCGUAGGCGGCCUGUUAAGUCAGCGGUGAAAUCUAGGAGCUUAACUCCUAAAUUGCCAUUGAUACUGGCGGGCUUGAGUGUAGAUGAGGUAGGCGGAAUGCGUGGUGUAGCGGUGGAAUGCAUAGAUAUCACGCAGAACUCCGAUUGCGAAGGCAGCUUACUAAGGUACAACUGACGCUGAAGCACGAAAGCGUGGGUAUCAAACAGGAUUAGAUACCCUGGUAGUCCACGCAGUAAACGAUGAUAACUGGGCGUAUGCGAUAUACAGUAUGCUCCUAAGCGAAAGCGUUAAGUUAUCCACCUGGGGAGUACGCCGGCAACGGUGAAACUCAAAGGAAUUGACGGGGGCCCGCACAAGCGGAGGAACAUGUGGUUUAAUUCGAUGAUACGCGAGGAACCUUACCCGGGAUUGAAAUGUAGAUGACCGCUCCUGAAAGGGAGUUUUCCUUCGGGACAUCUAUGUAGGUGCUGCAUGGUUGUCGUCAGCUCGUGUCGUGAGAUGUUGGGUUAAGUCCCGCAACGAGCGCAACCCUUGUCAUUAGUUGCCAUCAUUUGGUUGGGCACUCUAAUGAGACUGCCGGUGACAAACCGGAGGAAGGUGGGGAUGACGUCAAGUCCUCAUGGCCCUUAUGACUUGGGCUACACACGUGCUACAAUGGAUGGUACAACGAGCAGCGAACUCGUGAGGGUAAGCGAAUCUCUUAAAGCCAUUCUCAGUUCGGAUUGUAGGCUGCAACUCGCCUACAUGAAGCCGGAAUCGCUAGUAAUCGCGGAUCAGCACGCCGCGGUGAAUACGUUCCCGGGUCUUGUACACACCGCCCGUCACACCACGAGAGUUUGUAACACCCAAAGUCGGUGAGGCAACCUUUUGGAGCCAGCCGCCUAAGGUGGGAUAGAUGAUGGGGUGAAGUCGUAACAAGGUAGCCGUA